GACGAACGCUGGCGGCGCGCUUUAUACAUGCAAGUCGAACGUGAAGCUCGGAGCUUGCUCCGGGUGGAAAGUGGCGAACGGGUGAGUAUCACGUGAGAAACCUGCCCCGAAGACCGGGAUAACACCGGGAAACCGGUGCUAAUACCGGAUGCCCUCACCGGAUCGCAUGGUCUGGUGAGGAAAUGGAUUCCGCUUCGGAUGGUCUCGCGGCCUAUCAGCUUG
Molecule: ribosomal RNA, 222 nt
Filed under: uncultured bacterium
Lineage: Bacteria
Description: partial 16S ribosomal RNA
Rfam family: Bacterial small subunit ribosomal RNA
Source: RNAcentral